GUUGAGAUGGCUGAGUUGGUCUAAGGCGCCAAAUUAAGAUUCUGGUUUGAAAGGGCGUGGGUUUAAAUCUCACUCUCAACA
Molecule: transfer RNA, 81 nt
Organism: Ipomoea nil (Japanese morning glory)
Lineage: Eukaryota; Viridiplantae; Streptophyta; Magnoliopsida; Solanales; Convolvulaceae
Rfam family: tRNA
About the family: Transfer RNA (tRNA) molecules are approximately 80 nucleotides in length. Their secondary structure includes four short double-helical elements and three loops (D, anti-codon, and T loops).
Source: Rfam